RNAcentral lists this ribosomal RNA (492 nucleotides) under uncultured bacterium. RNAcentral describes it as "partial 16S ribosomal RNA". It matches the Rfam family "Bacterial small subunit ribosomal RNA", at positions 29 to 507 of the family's 1533-position model. The record is from RNAcentral.
AGUGAACGCUGGCGGUAGGCCUAACACAUGCAAGUCGAACGGCAGCACAGUAAGAGCUUGCUCUUACGGGUGGCGAGUGGCGGACGGGUGAGGAAUACAUCGGAAUCUACUUUUUCGUGGGGGAUAACGUAGGGAAACUUACGCUAAUACCGCAUACGACCUACGGGUGAAAGCAGGGGAUCUUCGGACCUUGCGCGAUUGAAUGAGCCGAUGUCGGAUUAGCUAGUUGGCGGGGUAAAGGCCCACCAAGGCGACGAUCCGUAGCUGGUCUGAGAGGAUGAUCAGCCACACUGGAACUGAGACACGGUCCAGACUCCUACGGGAGGCAGCAGUGGGGAAUAUUGGACAAUGGGCGCAAGCCUGAUCCAGCCAUACCGCGUGGGUGAAGAAGGCCUUCGGGUUGUAAAGCCCUUUUGUUGGGAGAGAAAAACAGCAGGUUAAUACCCCGCUGUUCUGACGGUACCCAAAGAAUAAGCACCGGCUAACUUCGUG